Molecule: long non-coding RNA, 23729 nt
Filed under: Marmota monax (woodchuck)
Lineage: Eukaryota; Metazoa; Chordata; Mammalia; Rodentia; Sciuridae
Source: RNAcentral
CCCUAGACAGGCUCUCAGCGGGCUCUGCAGAUAAAGUUAAACAGAGGUAAGCGAGCCUUUUGGAGAAGGGAAAUCUGCACUCUCUAAUCCUUUCAUUCUGGGCUCCAAAGUAAAGAGAAUUAAAUGUAAAAAAAAAUACAGUGAAAAAAUUCUAUGCAAACAGAUUUAACAGAGUAUUAAAGUUGUGGGUUUAAUAGUGUGAAUUUGGAAGUAAGUGAUUAAGGAACAAAAUGACCUCUAGCUACAGUGUGCAUUAGCUUUCCUGUCAGAAUGUUCCCUGAGGAGGAUCCUCACACACAUGUAUACCAUGGCUGUUGUAAGACAUGUUUGCAUUUGCAAAGUGAAGGAGAACAUGUGCAUAGUGGGAUAAAUAUUCUGAUCACCUGAGUCUUCUACUUAAUAGAAGCAUUCGGAAUAUCAUUGUUUUUAUCCUCAACACAAAGCUUUCAAAAUAUGUGAAUUAAUGUAUUUUUCUCUACCAAGAAAUAAUGAAGAGCUCUCAGAACUUGGAGUGAGAAAACAGGUAUUUAAGUCAAAUUUCUGCUCUUUUCUUGCCUGGAGACUUUAAAAGUAGCUUACCCUCUGUAAUCCUCAGCUUAUUUGUCUACAAACUGGUGUGAUUACCUACCUCUGUAAAAAAAAAAAAAAAAAUCAAACAUGAUAAUCAAAUUAAAGUGCAUUGUGAUAUUUCAAUCAACAUAAAAGAAUUAGAAUAAAUGCAUCUCCCUCAAUUACUGAUCUCCCUUAAUUAACCCAUAAUUAAAGAAUGGUUUAAUUUAUUUUCUAUGUUCCCAAUAUCUGUUCCUUGUGCAAUAUAUUUUAUAUUAGCAAAGGCACAAGAGACCACCCAAUUACCAUACCAAAUUCUCUGUAAAAUCUACUAGGAUUCCUUUUCUUACCCUAAAUAUCAUAUUUCUCACUAAAUUCUCUAAGUUUUCUUUUUUUAUUGUCUAUCUUUUAUCUAACUGUCUUGAGAACCCUGAUGGCAAGGAAGCAUGCUAUUAUGAUGGUCAGUCAAAAGGAUCUAAAAUAUGAGAAUCUGAGCUUUAAAUAAGACAUUAAAUAUAGUACACCAAAUCAGCAUAAAUCUGUGUAUUAAAAUGAUAUUUUAAAGCCUAAUGGGUCAUCUUUACAGAAUACUAAUUUUCAGUUCAUUGCUUUAAAAACUUCUAAAUGGGGAUAACUUUAAUCUUUCUUUUGAGAACUCCACUACUGACAGUAGACAUGAAAUUUUCUCUUUAAAUCUUUGUAGCUAAAAUAAUCAGGAAAUGAUAAGAUUAGCUGAUGCGGUAGAAACCUUUUAUAGAAUUGUUCUCUCUAAUAAAAAAAGAAGGAAUGACAGAAUUAGGAUGUCUCUAUUUUGCAUACCCUAAUGGACUUUGGAUGUAGACAAUGAUUUUUGAACACUGCCAGCAUCCACAAGGGGAAACAGCAAGUCAUUACAUGUCUCCUGAUGAAAGAAGCCAGCCCCACAUAAGAGACUGUUGCCAGAAAACAAACAAACACACAAACAAACAAAUAAAUAAAUAAAGGUAGUCUUGCCUCCAGAUCCACCAAGCAAUGUUCAGGAACCAUGGAAGACAGGAAUGGUUUCAGAAACACUACAAAGACACAAAGAGCAAAAUCCAGAUGGUGAGAAACUACCGGACAAAUAAUCCGGUUUCUUCAAGAAAUAAUAGGAAAAAAUGAGAUGGACAGCAAAGGGGAUUCUAGAGAUUAAAGUAGACCUAAAAGACUUAUUAAGCAUUAACAAUUUCUUUUAAUUACAGCCUGAUUUGAACAAUAAUCUUUUUAUAAGUUAACAUAUGUAAAUGACAGUUGCAAAUGUAAGCAGUAUAGCUAUUUGAUAUUAAGUAAUUAUUAUUUACUUUCAAAUAGGAAAAUGAUACCAUCAUUCAAAAUGAGAGAUACCUCAAAAAAAUAAUUAAAUUGAAAGUGCAGAUGCUCCUCGACUUAUGAUGGGGUUACGUCUUGAUAAACCCAACAGAAGAGGAAAAUCUCACUAGUCCAAAUGCAUUUAAUACAUCUAACCUAUUGAACAGCAUAAUGAGCAACACAGUAUAUUGUAGAAUAUUUCUUAUUUAUGCCUAUGAUCAAGUGGCUCAAUAGAAGCAGUAGCUUGCUAUUGCUACAGGGUAUUCUGCUGAAAAUCUUCUGUCCAGAAAAAGAUAAAAAUUCAAAAUAUGUUUUCUACUGAGUAAGUAUGGCUUUCUCACUACUGUGAAAAAGACAAAAAAAAAUUUAAGCUGAAACAGUGUAACUGGGAUACGGUUUAUUUGUUUAUUUAUCUGAAAGUUGCUUCCAAAUAAUACAGAAGCAGAAGUGGACCCAGAUACAGCAACAUUCACAAUAAAUUAGUAAUUGUCUUAGAUUGAUGGGUUCAGAGGGGUUCAUUACACUAUUCUAUUCUGAUAUGUGUUUGAAAUGUUUUAUAACAGAUAUUUUUGAAAACUAAACAAUGAGAUAAAUAGCAUAUUAGACCUGGAAAAAAGAUAAAUAAAUCUAUCAUAAAGAAAUAACUCAGAAUAGAACAAAAGUAUAUGGAGAGUAGAAUAAAAAAUUGUAACAUAAAAUUUAAUCUAAUAAGUUUUGUGGGACAUAUAUGGAAUCAAAAAGAAAAAGUCAAACUACCAGGCCUGGUGGUGCACACUGUAAUCCCAGUAGCUCAGAAGGCUAAGGCAGGAGGAUUCCAGGUUUAAGCCAGCCUCAGCAACUCAGCGAGGCCCUAAGCAACUCAGGGACACCCCGGCUCUAAAUAAAAUAUUAUGUGGCUCAGUGGUUAAGUACCCCUGGGCUCAAUCUCUGGUAUCAAAAAAAUUGUUUUUUAAAAACAUUUGCCAUCCAAUAUUGCCAUUCGAUAUUGGUACAGAUGUUGGUUGAAGGGUUCAAAGUUUCAGUUAAACAAGAUGAAUAAGUUCUGGAGAUCCAUUGUACAACAUGAUGAUUACAGCUAAUAAUAAUGUAUUAUAUAUUUUUAAAUUGCUAAGAGAGUAGAUUUUUAAUGUUUAUGUGAGGUAAUGCAUAUAUUAAUUAACUUGAUUUAAUCAUUUUAUAAUGCACAUAUGUAUCAAAAUUUCACAUUAUAUACCAUAAAUAUAUACAAUUUUAUUUGUGGAUUAUGCCUUACUAAAACUGAGUACAAAGGUAAAAUAAUAAAAAAAAUCUGAAAGAGAAGUUUUGUGGGAACAAACUGAGGAGAAAAAUUACUAUUUGACAAUAUUGUGCAUAUUUGUGAAUAAUUUUCAAUAAAUGAUAGAAAAAAUAUAAAAUUUUAAAUUCAGCAAUAAGAACAAAUUUUGACAUGAAUAAGUAAUAUUCUUGACAGAUUGAGGGAAUUAGGAACAUUGUUCUGUGAAGAGAAAAUCAUGUAAGAGAUAGCUUAGAGACUUGAAUAUUUGGGGUGUCGUAUUGGGAGAACUGAAUAGCAUGGAGUGGGCUUGAUGUUAGGAAAUAAGAAAAAAAGCUGAAUAAUAAAUGAAAUAAGGAAGGAGAGUUGGGGUAACACAGGGAUGCUGUGUGUGGGGAUGCCCUCUGGAAUGUGCAAUGCAAAGCUCCUAUAGCUUCAUUCUAUUCCUGGAGCCAUAUUGAAAGGUGCCAUACAAUAUUGUAUGAACAGAGUGUUUUAGCCAGCUUUUGCAUCACUGUAACCAAAAUAUCCAACAAGAACAAUUUAGAGGAGGCAAAACUCCAUUACUCUGGACCCAAGGUGAUACAGCACUUCAUGAAGGAAGGGCCCAGCAGAGUCAAGCUGCUGGGGUCUUGGAAGGGUAAGGAAACAUCGAGAAGGAGGGAGGGGAGAAGGGGCCAAAGACAAGACACACUCUUCCAGGGCACAACCUGAGUGACCCAACUCCUCUAGUCAUUCCCCACCUUUCUAGAGUUACCACCCAGUCAGCCAGCAAACUAGGAUGGGCCAAUUAGGUUACAGCUCUCAUAAUUUAAUCAUUUUACCUCUGACUAUUCCUUCAUGAACAGGAGCUUUUAGAGAAACUUCAUAUCCAAACGAGAACAACUAAAAAGGAUUUUAGUAGAAUAACUGAUGAUCUUUAUCAUGUUCCCUUUUCUCUGCCUUCACCUUCACCUCCAACUAUUUCCAGAAGUUUAGCAGGUUAAAGAGAGCAAAAGGGAUUUGCACAGACUGAACCAUGAGCUUGAAAAGUUGAACAAUUUUUUUUCUAAACUAAAUUCUUUAUAUUUUUAUAUAUUUUUGUAUGAUAGCUGAUACUUUGUGCAUUCAAAUUAAACUCCAAUUGCAUUUCCUAUGAGUUAUUGCUGCAGCAUUCAUUUUUUUUUACAAGAAUUCCUGUUCUUAGUCUUAAAGCAAAAAUUAAAUUUAGUUUGUAUAUUAGAGAGGUGGAAAACUAUAGGAGAUAAAUAAUAAAUAUUACAUAACAUAUUUCUAUACUCCUUGAGUUUUAGUAAAAUAAUUUUAGACUUCUUGUGGUAUAUAAAUUUUUAAAAUAUUCAAGGUUAAUAUUUUACAUUACAAAGAUAUUUAAAUAUCAUUAAAUAUGUAUAAUAGAGGCACAGGACUAAAAUAGAUAUCUUUACAUAUAACAAUGAUAUAGUUAAAAACUACAGUAAUUUUACACGGGAGAUCUGUACUAAGGAUUAUUUACCUGCACCUUUAUCUCAAUAGAUGAAAUGAUAGUAUUGGUCCAAUAUUUUUUUUUAUUUUUCACAAGGCUGGGAAUUUAUUACUUUAAUAUGUAUGAAUCUACAUAUUUUCUGAUUUGCUUAUAAACACCCGUGGUUUUCAGGUGCAUAUCAUACAUUUUUCUCCUUCUCAAACAAACUUUCUCAAUAUUCUUACUGAUGGAGAGAAGGUAACUGAUUUCUGUCAUCCAUUCUCUAGUCCUAACAAUUGCAUCUAUAACUCAACCCAGGGAUUCAUAAGCUUUUUCUGCCAUACGUCACUUGGGAACUUUGAAGAAGCCUAUAUCCCCUAUCUCAGAUAUCACUUUUGAAUGGGUAGAAUUCACAAGAAUUCAACCAUUACAAAUUAGAAAUAGAAUUAUUAACUUGUAGUAUACUAACAUAUAUGAUUAUUAAUACACAAAAUAACAAGAUUUAGAAAUGGAUCUAAAAACAAUAAUAAUUUCAAGAAACGCACCAUAAAAAACAUUUCAAAGUAUUUAUAACAACAAAAAUUUAGUCUGACAGUAUUUUGAUAUCCGAUUGUCACAAAGGUCCAGGUGUAACUAAAUACUGUUGGAAUUUGUUCCUUAUUUUCAUAAUUGAAGUGUUGUAUUUUAAUUACAGGUUAAUAAAAGUAAAAAAAGCAACCUUUGUCCAUCCACAUUUAUAGACCCCUGAAUUAUAUUAGUACAUAGCUUCCCACUAAAAAACCCUGAGUCUCGAGCAUAUAAAAUGCAUUAUUUUAUUCUUUAUAAUUUCAAAAUAUUUAGGCAAGAAAAAAAAUUUUACAUCUGCUUUUGAAAAAGUCCACCAAGAUAUCAGAACAGCACAAUACAUGAAUAGUUAGGAAAAAUAAAAAAUGACAAUAGACAAACAGGAACCACUAAACAGGGCAAAGUCUAUGUCAGAUCAUAUUAGAAUGCAUUGAACAGUGCUUAUCGUGUACUAUUUACCCAAGUUUUUCACUGACUAUGACACUAGCUUUAUUUUCAGAUACACAUGCAUGUUACUUAAUUCCCAGGGCAAAGUUAAUUUUAUGCUUUGAAGUAUAAAAUAUUUUCCUCAUUUUAGUUCACUUGUUCAAAAGUUAAAACUAAUGAAUGUUCACCUCAUUAAUGCAAAGCAAAGGAAACAGGUAUGAUUAUAUCCCUGGUAAAAUAGUACUUACUUUCUGAAUGGCCCUUUAACAUUAGGAAAUAUUGAUGAUAGGCCUGGAAUUUUUCUAACAAAUGAUUUUUUUCUGGCUCCUUCACACAUUCCUGAAAAUAUCUUGCAAAUAAUAAGAACAAUAAUAAUACUCUAUAUUUUAUUUUGAUUACUGCUAAACAUUUUCACAACUAUUAUUGCUUUAGUGCUGCCAUUAAGAUUUUGAGAUUAGAGAAGCAAAUAAUGUUACUUGGUCAAUCAGGGUACCAACAGGAAAUAUUUAGCACUGUUGAAAAAGGAAAAUUUGGGGAAAGUUUAUUCACAAGAAGAUUACAAAAGUCUGAAUAUAGGUAAAUCAUAGUGGUUGGCACAACAGCCAAGGGCCCUGGCCUGAAGAAACAAGAGGCUUCUGGAAUAUCAUAUAUAGUCAUAGAGAAUCAGAUGCCUGGGAGAAACAGUAAGCCUCGUUGAGAAGCAUAGCUCACUGGAGAAGGUUUUACAAGGGGGAAUGGGAGCAUAAAAAAUUGUCCUGUCAUCUUUCCCACUCUCCUGGUCUCUCUUGCCAAGGUCACCUAUAGCCUAAGGUUGCAGGAACUUUUAUGCUAUCCAAAAAUGUCAGCCACCUCUGACUAAAAGUGAGUGAGAAAAGAUAAAGAAAUAAAUGUGAAGCAGCUGAUGGAAGAGACCCAGCACAGUUAUGCACAUUCAAUAGAACUGGGUCAAUUAACAUUUUGCUUCAGACUAUUGUUAUUAUAAUCAUUUAAUUGAAAGGGAAUAACUGUAGAACACAAUUUUACACCCUACUCCAUGCAUUCAAGCCCACUCGAUGGGAGUACAUGUUUCCUUUCUCUUGGGAAAGCCAAAAGUAGGCACCUUGGCUCUGAUAGUCAUAUCAGAAUAAUAGGAAUCCUUGUGUUCACUUUUAGUAUUUUCUGUUAAAUAUCAAAUCUUAUGUCUUAGCCCAAACCAUGAAUAUUAUUAAAGCUUUCUUUUCCCCAGCCUUGGCCCAUUCAUGCUGGGAAGCUGCAGUGAAAAGAGGGCUAUUGUCAGUUUCAUCCUCACCCUCCCAAUACUGCAGUAGCCCCCCUGAUUUUGUCUCCUCCAGAAUCAACACUGGAGAUGCAGAGAGAAAUCUGACUUGACUGAUCAGACAUGAUCUGGCUCUAGUGCUCCCUGACCUUUAUAACCCAAAGAUGACUCCUUAUUAGGACUUAUUUUUACAGACCAUCACAUAACCCUCACUGGGAACUUUGUUAUAAACAUCCUGGCCUCCAGCCAUGCUUCUCUUUUGGCAGGAUGCUCUUCACCCUCUAUACUUUCGGCUUUUCCAUUUUACACCACCACCAGCAUCCUGCUGAGUUUGCUUCACCCAUCACCCCUGGCAGAGAGACCUUGAGGCAACUUAUCCUUUAUAAUUAACCUAGGCCAGCUCCAUCCACAUGCUCCACGUCCUUAACUUUGGUUACUAAAAGGGAAGCUGUUCCUUAUGUAGUCAUCCCUCUUUGCUCUGAUAUCAAGCCCACUCUCAAAGUUUCUUGCCCUUUAGAUUUUAUAGGUAUGGUUGCAUCAGGUCUAUCAUGCUUCCUGGGUAUAUCUCACUCUGAGUGGUUUUCCUGAAGACCCCUAUUUGAAGGUAGAAGAUAAAUGUCCCUGUUCUCCAAUAACUCCUUCCUGAGAAAUUCUUUCCUCCUGACCCAUUCAACAUCAAUUCUUUUAUUGGGCUAAGGUUGGAAAAAAUCAGUUUGCAGCAACAUUCUUUGCAAAUACUACAUGAGUCUAGCACCUAACUUUAGAAUACAAGAGGAAAUACUUGCCUGCCUACUUUGGGACCACAGCCAAAAACUGAAAUAGAAUCUUAUUUGAAAACUCUUGAUAUAUUACCUGCUUUUUAACAUUUCAUAACACUCUAAGAAGGAGGUUGCUAUGAAUCCCAUUUUAUUGGUGUAUUUUCAGAGAGAUGAGUUUUCUGAGAUUACCUAACUAUAAAUUAUGCAUCAAGUUGUUUAAUCCAAGUCCAAUGAUUUUCCACUUAAAGCUAGUUUUGAUAAAGAAAUUAAAGCUGAGUGAAUAAGGUGCUUAUCCAUGACCAAGAACAGUGAAGUUCAUUUAGAACGUAUACACUGAAUAAAUACUAAUGGGGUAGGGAGGAAGAGAAUGAGAAGAAGAUUACCACUAAAUAGGGAAGAGAGGUGGGAGGGAAUGGGAGGGAGAAGGGGAAUUGCACGGAAGAUGGAAGGAGACCCUCAUCGUUAUACAAAAUACAUGUAUGAUGAUGUGAGGGGGGAAAAAAAGAAAUGUGUCACAUUAGAUUGGGUAGAGAGAAGUCAUGGGAGGGGAAGGGAGAGGAUGGGGAGAUAGGAAGGGCAGCAGAAUAAAAUAGACACUAGUAUUGCUGUGUGUAUAUACGUGUCUGUAUAACCAAUGUGAUUCUGCAACCUGUACACUCAGAAAAUGAGAAAUUAUACCACAUUUGAUUCAAAUGUAUGAUAUGUCAAGAUCAUUGUAUUGUCAUGUGCAACUAAUAAAAAAAAUACCAUACUGAAGACAUAUGGCCUUCUAUCCUAAGGUUCAGGAUAAAGUUGAGAAUAGUGCCAGGUUUGAGUUGUUAGAUAUGACUGCCCUUCUUGAUGACUGUCCUAGAGACUAAGAUAAAAAUCCUAACAUUUUAUUUCCUUUCUAACUCAUUGUAAAUCCUGUGACAGACCUAGGCCAACCUCCACAUCUUAUGAUUUUUGCUGAUUCUUUUUAGCUCUUAUUUGGUGAUGCCUAAAGGAUGUAGUUCAAAAUGGGCUACAUUUCAGAUGUUAGAAACACAGAAAAAGGAUUCAGAGGGAGGUGCCCCAGUUUUCUUUUUUCCCCCAAGUUAAAAAGCCUGACCAUGCAAUGGGAAAUGCCCUUGAGCAUAAUGAUCUUGGGCCAUUCUUGCCAAUAACUGUUCUUUAUUGUCUGUCUCUUCUCACCUCAGCUCAACACCACAAAAUGACGCAGUUCUUUACCUUUUCUCCCCACCUAACUCUUGUCAUGAAGAUUUAAACUUUCUUCUAAAAGAGAGAAUAUUUGACUCCAUACAUGGGCUUUGCAAUGUGUAUUACCCAUCCCUCCAAAAAGAAAUUUUUGUAAUAUAUUUUUUGUGUGAUUCUAUUUGUUGGAUAGAAGUUUUAAAAUUUUCAUUAGUUGCUCAGAGAGAUUCAUGAACCAAGUAAAUGCAGAUCCCUUUGCCCUAUCCUACUACUCUGCAAUGCUUUCCAAAUUAAGCAUCCCUGGUUCUUUCUACAGCUACCUAAAUCUCAUUAUUUGAUCCCAGUGCUGGUGGUUUUGUUCCGAAUGCCUGUUUAGUUAUCUCAUUCCUGGGACAAUACUUCAGAAGCCAAUAUUAUUUCUCUUCUGCAUCAUCAUCAGCAGCAGCAGCAGCAUUAAUUUAAUAGCAGUCUGUUUAAAAUUUAAUUACCAGUUUUGAGAUAGAAUUCUGAAAGUCAAAAGUAAACUUCUGCUGAGUGAAGUAGCAUUUCCUUUCAUCAUUCUAAAAAUCACACUGUUGAUUAUGAAGGAACCAACUGGUUCCCUCCUCCAUGUGCAGGAGCUCUAAUUAGGCUUCUUCUACCUGUAUUCACUUCCUCCCAGGGGAAUAGCCUCUUCUUUGAUUGGUCAGGUUGGGAGGAGUAGUUGAGUAUGUUCAGCUCAUACGCUUCCUUCCUGUUUUUAUUAGAUAGCAAUGACUAGUUAUGUCAAUCUGUCUAAUCCAGGCAGAAUAUAUAAGGAAGGCCUUUGAAAUGUAGAUGUGAAUUCAUUUUCUACAUUCAGUUUUGUCAGUAAUAAAAAUGGCAUGUUGGUUUCUAGAUAGAUAGAUAGAUAGAUAGAUAGAUAAAUCUUAUUUCCCUAUUACUUCUAGAUGUAGACUUGGUAGGAGGGAGAAGGCAUUAUGUAAUAGCUAGUUAAAACCACCUUAUCACUCAGAUUUAAUAUGAUCCUUCAUUCUAACAUUCUGGAAUUUGAAUUUGAAAACCUAUCUUUCUGUGUACUUUUGAUUAUUUCCUUCUCAUCCCUCACAGGGCCUUGCUGAGUACUUAAUUUUAGGUUUUUCACAUGGCAGUCCUUCCAAGCUCCUAUAGUUAAUUAUCAUUCCUACUCUUUCUUUUUCUUUUAUUUUAUACUCGAAUUUUAAAUUACAGUAACCACAAUUGCAAGAUUCAGGGGUGACUAUCUGGCUUAUUGUUUCCACAUGCUCCCUAAGUUUUUCCUGGAACCCCUAAAUUGGUGUGUGAUUGCUUGAGAAUCUCAUGGUAAUAAAUAUCAAUUGUAGUGAAACAAAUUAUCCAAAAUUGAGCAGCUUAAGAAAACAACAAGCAUUAUAAUUUUCAAACCAUUUUGGUGCAUUAACAAUUCAAAAAAAAAAAAAAAAAAAACUUGCUGGGUGCUUCUGAUUCAGGCUCUCCAAGGUUACAGUGAAGAUGUUAACCAGGGCCUCAGCACCUGAGGCUCUGCUGGAGCUGAAGUAUCCAUUUCCAAAAUGGGUUGGCAGCUAGGAGUCCCAGUUCCUCACUGGCUAUUUUCAAGGCCUUAGUUCUUUGCUAUGAAAACCUCUUUAUAGGGUUGUUGGAGUGUACUUAGGAAAUGGCUGCUGGUUUCCCCCCCACACCCUCCAGGCAUUCAUUCGACACAGCAAAGCAAGAGGUGCAGCAGCUUCCUCGCUUUCACAUGGUUUUUCCACAAGAUCCUUGGUGACAAGUCAGCUCUGCCCCAUGUGGAAGGAGAAUAUAUAAUGGCAGAAUUAUUGGGGGCCACAGCCUGGCUGCUGUACUCAUAGACACUUAAUAAUUCAUCUCCCUGUUUUACUAAUCCAAAUUACAUCCUCAGUUAACUGUUACUAUUUCCUCCCCUUUUGCAUAAUACUGAAUAUGGGUGGAGCUGUAUGACUUUCUUCAUAGAGGCCUAGCAUUUUAUUGCCUCUUUAAAAUAGAGCAGCAAAUCUGACUAUUGUUUUGAAGGAACAUUCUCCAUGCUCUGGUUCCAAGUUUCUUUCCCCAGGAACUUAAAACCAUAAACAGAAUAAGUAAAACUUGUUGUUGUGUCCAACAGUUGGAGGAAAAAGGUUUUAAGUACACAUGAAUCAACCUUUACACAUGAAAUUAAUGAACUGCUAGUCUGGAAAAUAAACCUUUACAAAUUGUGGAGGCAUGGUUUUCACAAAGAACAAGUUCUCAAACCAUGAUGCAAUUAAAUAAAUAACAGAAGGAAGACCAAAGAGGAAGGUAUAAUCCUUUGCCAUUUAAUGAGAAUAGAGCUGUCUGNGAGGCAAGGCACCGAAGAUAGCAGGAAACAGUUUUAUUUGGCUGCAGCCAGGUUCAGAGGGCACAGCUUUUGCUGUAAUCAAUCAAUCCCCUGAACCCCGAGUUCAGGGAGUUUCAGAGUUUUAUACCCAGCAUGUAAGGGGAGGGGCUCAGAAGUUCACAGUCUGCAGCAGUUCACAUAAAAGCAGCUCUUUCUUUCACUGUUCUGGGCAAGUUAACCCUUCAAGGACAACACCUGAGAAGGGGAGAGCUUCUUCUCUUCUUUCUAUCCUCCCCAUGCCAGAUGUUACCAUGGAGCCCAUUUGUAACUUAUCUUAAAAAUGUAGACAUCUCUGUGAAGCCCAGCUCAAGGCCAGAGGCCUUGUUUGCACAUUUCUUCAAAGUACUGUACUGGAUACGUUUGUGAAAAACUAGUAAGGGGUGCCCAGCACCUGGAGUGCUGGUAUCUUCUUGGCCAGUGGCCAAGUAAACAGGGCGACAUGAAAACAGGAAGUUUAUCUACAAUGGACUCUUUUUCUGACAGUCCUAAAAGCAGCCAUGGUGAAGAGGGCUUUUCUGUGGAAAAAGGGGGUGCCACUUCAUUAUCAUGUAGGAGUUACCACAAAAAAUACUGUAUAAGGCUGGUUUAUAUUAGAAAAUCAAUAAUGGAAUUGACAAAUCAAAGAAAUAAAGGACAUCAUCCCAAUAGAUGAAAAAAAGCAUUUGAUAAAAUUCAAUAUCCAUUCCUGAGUGAAAUAACCAGUAAAUUAAUAAUAAAAAGAAACUUCAUAACAAGGGAAGGAACAUCUAUUUAAAAAAAAAAACACCUACUAUACAUAUUCUAAGCUGACACCAAUAAAAACAAAUCCAACAAACUAUAGAAGAUUUUUAUGGAGAAAAUUAUUAACAGUUUAUUUGAAGGCAUUAAAAAUAACCUAAAUGAUAAAUGAUCUUGAAUAAUCAGCCUCACUAUCAUGAAGAUUUUGAUUCUCUUCAAAUUGACUUAUAUGUUCAAUUUCAGUACAAUUUCAGUCUAUACUGCAAUAAAAUUUCCAGUAAACAUGGCAAGCUGAAUCCAUUAUUAGGAUAGAGAUGAUUAUUAGAUGAGGUAUAAAAAUUAAACUAAAUAUUAUUUUCAUUAAAAAAACAAGAAAAAUCACAGAUGGGACAAGAUAUUUGAAUAUAUAUAACUUAUAAAGUUUAAUAUUCAGAGUAUUCUAAGCCCUCCUACAAAUAAAGACUUAAAAUAAAAGCACAAUUACAAAAAAACAGAUAACAGACUUAAACAGGCACUUCCAAAAUAAACAAAUGAAAAUGUGAGUAACCUCAUUAGUAGUCAGGAAAAGCCAACUAACACCCAAACCAUAUAUGACUACUGAUGAAUUAGAUUGGCAAAAUUGAAAUUCUCACAAUACAAUGGUUGUCAUAGUUUUGAAAUAGUAGGAUCUGCCAUAUAUUGCUCUCAGGUGUGUAAAUUGGUGCACCUUUGGAAACUGGUCUAUAAAAUGAAAUUAAGUAUAAGCAUAGCUGGCAAUUCUACUUCUGAAAAUAUACUUUAAUCAUUAAAAUGAACACCAAAGGCAUGCAUAAGAAAAAAUUCAGCAGAACAGUCUGAAGACCAAAAAGAAAAUUCCUGAAUUUUUUAUUCACAGUAGAAUGGACAAACCAUUGUAUAUCCCUGUGAUGAAAUCAUAUGCAGCAACUAUAAAUAAAGCAGCUAUAGCAACACAUGUUAGCACGGACAAGAACAUAAUGUCUAAUCUCAAAAUACAUAAUAUUUGUUGAAAGAGAGAAGAGUCAUACAUGAUUCCUUUUUAUGAUGGACAAAACUUGAUUAUAUUCAGGGCAUAAAAUGAUAUUUAAUACAAUCUAUAUUGUGAAAUGAUUGUCAAAAUCAAGCUAGCAUAUCCAUUCUUUCACAUAGUUACCUUCAUAUUUGGUAAUGAAAUACUUAGAUCUACUCAAUUAGCAAAUUUUAUGUAUAUAAUACAUUAUAGUCAAACAAUAAACUACCAUUUUUAAUAUUAACAUUAGUAUUAUCAGUACUAGUAAUAGUAUUAACAUAUUGUUAAUGACUAUGUCACCAUGCUGUACAUUAAGUCUGCAGUACAUGACUCAUUUUAAGUACAAUUCUAGAACUGUCUAAGGUAAAUACCAGAUUUUUGAAGAAUACAUACACAGAUAAUAAGAUAAGGAAAAGCAGAGAAUGAUUAGGCUAAGCUUCAGUCGUCUAUAUAUUACCUCUGGGAAAAUGAGCCAUGAGAGGGGAGAGGGAUGCUGUGGUGAUGUCAGAAGUGCGGAUAAUAUUCUAUUUCUUAUGCUGGUGCUGCAAAUAGAAAACUCCUUUUCAUUUUCUUUAAACAGAUUAUAAAUAAAUUUAGAGUAUUUUACAUGAAGUGAUUCUUGAUAAAAUGUUUAACUGUGCCUUUUUAGAAUGUUCAAGUACCUUUAGAAAUGGAAUUAUCCAAGAAUAUAAAUUUUAAAGAAAAUCCUAUUUAAUAUUGGAAGUCUAUACUUUAGUGUACACUAAACUACAUAGUUUAGUCAUGUUUAAAAGGGCAGUCUGUAAUUACAGUCUGUAAUCCCAGCAACCAAGAAGAUUGAGGCAUGCAAGUUUAAGACGCUCAGCACCCUGUUUCAAAAUAAAAAAUAAAAAAGACUGGGGAUCUAGCUCAGUGGUAAAGUACCCCUGGUUUCAAUUUCCAGCACCAAAAGGAAAAAUUAAAAAAUAAUAAUUCCCUUUAUAUUAAUUUGAUAUUCUAAACCUUUAAAUUGCUUAAAGAAUAUUUUAGAAUGAAAAACGUGGAUUGUUUUAAAUGCCUAUAGUAUAAGCCAUGUCAUACCACCAUUUUGUCACAAGAGGGACUAAAUACUCAGAAAGUACAGCUUUCCUUUUUGGUCUUAAGAAUAUUUCUCUAUGGACUGGGGCUGUGGCUCAAUGGUGGAGUGCUUGCCUAGCAUGUGUGAGGCACUGGGUUUGAUUCUCAGCACCUCAUACAAAUAAAUAAAUUUUAAAAAUAAAGAUCCAUUGACAACUAAAAAAAUUAUUCAAAAUAUUUUUAAAAUGCUCUAAUAUUAAUUUUUUACACACUCUAUUUUUGUCAGCACAUGUGUUUUAGUGUAAAGUACUAUUAUACUUUUAUAAUAAUAGCAAAAUAACUAAAUUACCAGUUUACUUCUGAAAUGAUAUAGAUUAUACAGAAAUUCUUUAACUUAUUGAACAAUUAUAAUUUCUAUUUACUUUUUGAAAAAAAGUUUUUGUUUUUAUAUAAGCACUAAUGCUGAGUAGAUGUGUGUGUGUAUACAUAUAUAAUAUGACAUAUAAUAUAUAUUAUGUAUAUAUUUUAUACAUAUUUAUAUUUUAUAUAUUACAUAAUAUAUAAUAUAUAUUAUAUUUAUAUAAACAAUUAUGUUAUAUAUAUGCUUAAUUUUAAAAUUUAUUUUCUAUAUACCUUUGAGCAUUUUCAACCAAUCCUAAGUUUGAUAAAAUAAAUCAAGUACUUAUGUAUCCAUUGUUAGUCUCUACUUUACCCACUUGGCUACUUCCUCUGCUCUAAGGAGGCUUAAGCAUUUCUGGAAGCUCUUUCAGUGGUCACUAUAUAUGGACAAGGAGAGGUAACUUACUGACACAAUUCACCUAACACUUUAGAUAUUGCUCUUUUUAAAAAAGUGUUUGUGUUUAUAAAGGUAGGCUAUAAAUAGUUUGAAAAUCACUGGAUUAGACUGGUAGAAAAGAAUAAUAUCAGUUGGAAAGUACAAAAUGUUUUCACGUGCAUUAACUCAUUAGGUCUUUUCAAGGUGAAUUGUGAACUCUGAGAGGUAGCAUGUCUUAUUCACCACUGUAUCCCCGUGCAUAGAAUAAAUCCAAAUGCAACUAUUACUUAAAAAGUAAAUAUAUUAAAUGAAUAAACAGCUCCAGAAGAUAGAAACAACAAGUAUUAUCUAAAUUUUAUCAAAAAAAGGAAGCUGAUAAUAACGGACGUGCAAAGGAUCACAUUAGCACUAAGUAAAACAAUCAAAUUAGAGCCCAAGCCGUCCAUUUCCCGGUUCCUAAUACUGCUUUGAUCAAAUCUGGGAAAAGGGAGGGAAGAAAAAUUAGGGGGGAAAGGGAAUCCAGGAAGGAAGAAAAGAAGAAAGGAAGGGAGGGAAGUUGGGAAAGAGGGAAAAAGCAGGUUUAUUUUGCUUUCAGCACUAUAAAAUCUUCUUUCACCGUCUGAUCUCUCAAGGAAAGAUCAACUGUAGUAAAGCCUAAAAGAAAAAAAUAUUAUUUCUAUUCCUUUUACUUUCAUUUUUGAAAAAAUAUAUUGGCAGUAGGGAACAGUACUGUUCUAAUUUAUAUGAUUUAUGAGAAUAUCACACUUCUCUUAAAAAGUAAAAAUAUUUGUUUUUUUUAUGACCACUAUUCUUAAAGAAGAUUUGGGAAAUCAGUGUACAUGUCAUAUGAAUCUUUGUCCCAGCUGCUAUUUCCUUCCCCUUUUGACAGUCCUUUUAACACCUGGGAGGGUUUGUUUUUUCACUUCCUGUUCCUAUUUAUCAGAGACUACUGGGGACAUUCCCUCCCUUCCUGAAGUGGCUUUUGCCCUAUUGGUGGUCUCCUGGAGUUACAAUGGUGGAAUAGUCAGUAAAGGGAUUUAGGGUGAAAAUUACAUCGGCUUAGUAUUUUCUAUAUAUUAACCCCAUUACACUCAGACAUAAGCCCUACAUCACAUAGAGAGAUGUAUUUGGUUUUUGAUUGCUAUGAUAAAAAAAUUACAACAAAAUUAUUGAUCAUCUUAAAAUUCUGUAGAUCAGACUCCAUUAUAUUCUCACCACCCAACAUGUAUAUAAUGCUGGAUGACUUUUUCCAGGCUUAUUUCAGCUAGGUCAUAUGGUCAUGUGAUCAUAUGAGUCAUAGAAUCCAUUGCUAGCCAAGAGGUGUCCUAUAAAGUUUCUCCUGCAGAGUGCUCUAUGCUGUCCUUCUUGCAUUGUCUUCCAUCUGGACAAAGAGGAGAUCUAGAUAUCCAUUGGCUGUUCCUCUUUCCCAGAGUUUCUAAGGGAAAAUCUAUUUUCUGUUCUUUCAAAUUGUUGGCAGAAUUCAGUUCCUCAUGGUUGCUCAAGUCCCUGUUUCCUUUCCAAAACUUCUAGGGGAUGCAUCAUUCCUUAAUGCAUGAGCUUUUCCUUCCUCUUCAAAGCCAGCAAAUGUGGGCAGUCCUUCUCAGUUUGCUGUUCCUGUCUGACCUAGUUUCCUUUAGUCAUCAUCUACUUUUAAGGACUUCAGUGACUAGACUGGAAAUACUCAGCUACAGUAGCAUCAUCUUCCCAUUUCAAGGUCCUUACACUUAAUCCUGUGUGCAAGUGACAUAUUUGCAGAUUCUGGGGAUUACCAUGUAGACAUCUGUGGAAAGCUGAUUUUCUGACUACCACAAAGAAAACAACUGCUUAAAGAUAGUUUAAAAUGCAAAAGAGACAUUAUUUUCUUUUCACAGCAAUUAUUUAUAAUUGUAUCAAAUGGUUGAAAGCAUGACCAACAUGCCUAGUUUCUUAUAAGUCUUAAACAUGCAUUUUAAGCUAAUUUUAUAAAUAACAAAUUUCCCAUUUGGUUAACAAAUUGACAAAUAUAUAGUCAAUUUGUAAUUAAGAAAUCCAGAAGUGCAAACAACAGACAUCACCUUAAGAAGUAAUAUUUUGCAGAAAUAAUGAAGGAAGGUAGGGAUGCAGAAAUGGUAAAAAUGAGCAAUAAGUAUUUUCCCAUACCCAAUUAACUGGCCAAAUUUUUUCCUAGAAGACAAAUCUUAUAAGACAAUACAUAUAGUCAUGCAGCUAACAAAACCAAAAGCCAACCCAGAAUGGAAGAUGGAUGUGAAUCAGCAGAAAACAAAGUUAGAUUAGAUGAAAAUAUAAUAGUCCUAAAUAUUAUUUGAUGGUAAUCACAUAUCAGCUCCCCUGUGUGUUGUUAUUAUCCUUGUAUAGAUAGCACAAUACACAGCAUCAGGCAUGUAGAAGGCACUAAAUAUUAAUAACUUACAAAUUAAUUCUUUUAAAUAAAUUAAAUGAUAUUUAUAGAUUUUUAUGUGAAAGGUACAACUUUAAAAGUCCCUCAUGUUUCGUUUGUUCUCCAUGCUUUUCAGAGCUUUUUAAUAAAUUAUUUGCUUCACAGUACCAUCAAGACCAUCAUUAAGAAAAAGUUUGGUCUCAGUAAGACUAAGAGAUUUUCCUCUAUAAUUUGCAUUAAAUUAUCAUCACUUCUGAGAAUACUUGCCUAAAGGUUUUUGAAAGCAAAGACUAUUUCUGUUAAGGUCUAUAAACAAGUCAAGAUGGCGCCUGGCAUUUUGCCAGAGGGAGUGGUUUGUGAAGUAACGCCAAGCAAGCCAUUAAGUGUGGAGAUUCCUUAUUGGUUGACUGAUGUAUCUAGUUUAUGUUAAUUAAGAUAAGCUGUGUGGAAUGUAUAUAUACCCCUCCUGUCCUACAAUAAACGGCUCCCACUCCUGCUGUAUCAAUGUACACAAGUUGCUCGUCACCCCCCGGUUACUUUGCUGCAGCCGGACUGUGGCAAUUUCUUAUCCAUCUAAGUCAGGACAGCCACAGAAACAACCUUAUACAUAGUAAGGACAUAGUAAAGUAUAAAUCAAUUGAAUGACUAUAGGAUAAAACCUCAAAAAUGAUUGAGGUUUUCAUUAAUUUUUGGCACUUAUGUAGUAGAGAUUAACUAUAUAAUGCAAGCAGCAAUGAACUAAAGAAGCUAUUGAAAAUAUUCCCCCCAAAAGUCUUUUUUUUCCCACUCUUUAAGAUGAUGAAAAUUGGGCUGGGGUUGUGGCUCAGCGGUGGAGCGCUUGCCUAGCAUGAGCAAGGCCCUGGGUUAGAUCCUCAGCAACACAUAAAAAUAAAUAAAAUGAAGGUUUUGUGUCCAACUACAACUAAAAAAAUAAAUAUUUUAAAUAAGAUGUUGAAAAUUAACUUGAACUAUAAUGCAAUAUGUGCCACAUCACUGAGAUUUUCAAGCAAUAAACUGUAUUAUUACAGUCAUUUGCAAAAAUAUAAAGCAGAAAACCUUGCAUUUGGUUGGGGAAUAACUUUUCAGAUUCUCAGUCCUAAAGUAUUCACUAAUAAUAUUUUGAUUUUUUUUGAUCUAGGUGUUUAUUGUACAUAUCUGUACAUGUCUAAUAUAAUUCAUUUAUAAUAUUCCUACUUUGAAGUCAACCAAAAGCCAUAUGGGUAUUAGUAACUAUUGCAGGGGGUAUAACUAGGUAUUGAACUCUGGGGCACUUGACCACUGAGCCACAUCCUCAGCCCUAUUUUGCAUUUUAUUUAGACACAGGGUCUCACUGAGUUGCUUAGUGCCUCACUGUUGCUGAGGCUGAUUUUUAACUCAUGACCCUCCUAUCUCAGCCUCCAGUGCUACUGGGAUUACAGGCAUACACCACGGAGCCUGGCUUUUAUUAGUAACCUUUUGCUGAGAGGCAAGUCACUUAUAGAGACUUCUUAGUUUAUCCCACCUAUCUCUGUCUUCAUUAAGUAAAUUCUAGUUUCUCCUCUAAUUCCAAGGCUAGAAAGUGAAAGUUACAUAUUCUAAUUUUUGAGCAUCUCAUGUUAGGAUUUUGUUUUGACAGCAAUAGAUGAUGAUACUAAAAAAAUAAAAUUAAAAUGCUUAAAUAUAGUUUUCCUUUUAAAGAGCAAAUAUUUUAAAAUAAAACAAAAGAGCUAACAAAAGAGGAGUUACUGGGAAAUGAAUUGACCAAAUCAUAUUGUAAUAUUGUCUGCAUGAACAAAUAUGUAACAAUGAAUCCCACUACUAUAAAUGUACCAAAUGAAAAGCCAAUGUAUAGAACAUAUAAACUGAAAGAUGUAAUGGGCCUCUUAUAAUCCUGUGUGGAUAUUUUCAAACUUCAUUUUAAUAGGGAGAUUGUUUAAAUUUUUCAAACAAUAUUUAAUAUCAAGAUUAUACACACAACCCAGACCACUGCAUAUAAGGUUUUUCUGGGUGAAGUCUACAUGAAGGCAUGAAAGGCAAACUUCCUUCCACUCAGCCUUCUUCUCUGCAUCCUUUCCUCUCCCACCACCAUACUUCCCCAAAGAUCUAUUCUGAGGCAGAGUUUGGAGAGAACAGUUCAGUUUUCCUCAAUAAACAGAAGAAUAAAAUCUGAAGAGGUCAAGAGAUUUACCCACUUAGCAGAUCAGUAUGCCAAUACAACCUGGUUUUUCACUUUGUCUAUUUGACUUUGCAUAUAUUAGCUUCUCUAAGCUCAGGUUUCUGGUGUGUAAGAUGGAUGUGGUUAUACUCACUUCCACAGACAUUCAGAGUGUGAGAAUGGUAACUGGUGAAUGUAACUAUUUUCUUUAUUCCAACUCCCAAAGAAAACCCCCAGAUCUGCAUGAAAUGGAAGCAUAAAAGUAAUGGUUAAUAAUGGCAACUUUAGCUUAAAAAUAUUCUCUUUGUUUCAGGAAAGUAGUAGCUCAUCCAAAAAGACGAUUUGGCAUCCCCAUGGAUCGGAUUGGUAGAAACCGGCUUUCAAAUUCUAGAGGCUAAUUGAUUUCAAGUGUGAGUACAAUUUGACUAAGUAGCAAUGCAUGCAAGUAUUUGAUUUAACAUUUCAUGAUAGACUAAUCCAUUCUUGCUUAUAAAUCACCUUUUUGAUUUCUUAGCUCAUAUAUUCACUUUUUCAAGCAUUUCUGUAUACAAUUAGUACAUUGAUGCUAAGCAAUUUAAUAGACAUUUGGAAAACAGAGGAAUGUCUUAUAUCUUCUUCAUCCUAAAAUAUUAUUUUCACAAAUUUCUAUGUAGUUAUUAAAUAUUAACAUGAAAAAGGUUUAAACUUAUAAUGAACACAAUAAAUCACCUUCAUAAAUAUGCAUAAGUGUAUAGUCAUCCCUUUGUUAUAAAGACCACACAUUUUAUUGAUUAUUAUCAAUGAAGAUAUUACUAGGAUUAUGAUAAUAUGGAACAUAGGAGAGAGAAUGAUAUAGUAGAAAGAAUAUAAGUCAUGGAAUCAAAAUACCCUAUUCAAAUCCUGGUUGUCAUUCAUUAUCUUGUUUCUGUCAGUAUACCUUAUUUUUAUAUGUCUUUUAUGUUAAACUAGUAUAGUGUCAUUGUGAAGAUUAAAUCAGAUCUUUGUAGUAAAUCUAGAACAUGUUGCACACACAAUACUUGCGAUUAACAACAAUUUACAUUACCAUUCUGAAAAUAUACUCUGUGUUGAGCCCUACACUUAGUGCUUCACAUGCAUUUCUUCAUUGAAUCAUUCUGUCCCUUAAAGUAGAACUAUUUCUAUCUCCAGUAUCUUGAGAAGCAGUGCAGAAAAUGGAAUAAAGGUGCCAGCAAGGGACAUCAGGUUUUCUAGUUUCAAAUCCUAGGUCAUCUACCUGUUAGCUGUAGGACCGACCUUAAAUUCUUAAAUCUUACUUUAUAAAAUUAGUAUAAUAACAAUUUCUAACACAUAGUAUUUUCCUAAGGAUAAAAAUGAAUGGAUGCAUAUUAAGCACUUAGGGUAGUGCCUAACAUAUAAGUAUUUAAUAAGGUGUAUGAUUAUUAUUAUUUUUAUCAUUAUUAUAUAAGCAAGUAGAAAGUUUAGAUAUAUUAAUUAAAUCACAAUGCCAUAUGGUAAUACAUGCAGAUAGAAUUAAAAUCCAGGAAACUUAAAUCCUGAUUUUAUAUGUCAAACACUUUAUUUAAUCAUAUACAUUGUGUUUUAAAAACUAAAUAUUUUUGAAUAUGAAAUCUAGGCAAUAUAUUUUCUCUCAAUAUGGCUUACGCAGGUUUAUCCUUUCUCCCAAACAUUUAAGACAACCUAUAACUACCUUAUCAGUUUCAAGCUAACAAAGAGGUAAUUCUGUUUCCUGUUUCUCUUACAAUAAUCCUCAGAUCAAUAAUGCAGAGUCUCCAAAAGCAUGGGUUUUGCCCAUUCCCCCCUUAAUUUAAAUGACCCAAUUUUCCUUCUCCUCAAAUGCUUUACAGUCACAAUAAGAAGUACAUAUUUUUUAUCAGAAUGACUUAAUUAAAAUAAAUUUUGUCCACUGGGUAUUUGUUGAUUAAUGAUGUUCUACAGUUACUGAAUGCCCAUAAAUAUAACCAUUUAUUGAAUACUACCUAUUUUUAUUUGUUCUAAUUAGUUAUAUAUGACAGUAUAGUAUACAUUUUGUCACAUCAUACAUAAAUGGAGUAUAACUUCUCAUUUUUCUGAUUGUACAUGUUGUAGAAUCACACCAGUGGUGUAAUCACGAAUGUACAUAAGAUAAUAAUGUCUGAUUCUUUCUACUAUAAUUCCUACCCCCAUAUCCCUUCCCCUUCCUAUUACCUUUUGAACUGCACUAUCUUCAAAACUCAGAAUGAACUUUUUCUUCACAUCUAGAAUAUACCAAGUACACUCUUACGAGUUGUUAAAAAUCACCACAUUAAAGUAGGAAGUAGCUAAUUGCUAUUAAAAACCAAGUAACUCAUGGAAUAGGGCCCAUGUCCUCCAGUUUCUUAAUGUAUUAAUUGAAUGGCACUAGAUUAAAACAAUUAAAUCCAAUCAACUUGCCAUCCUUGAUCGUUACCCAUUUUUAAAUUUCUGAGUUAAACCAAAACAAGUAUGAUAAACAAACUGCACAGGAAAUACAUGUUCAUAUAAAUACUUAUAUGAAAUUCCAGGCCAUAGAAAUUCUGGAUUACUCUUAAUCUACAGAGUUGAAUUAAUAUAAUCUUUCCUGAAUCACUAUUGGGUGCAAUCCAAAUUAGUAAAUUUUAUCCUUCUCUUAACAAAUCUUGUUUAGCAUCUUGAAAAUUGCUUUUUUUAAUCUUUAAAAUCUUAAGACAGUAAUAUCAUGAAAGACUGGUUUAGAAAAGAACUUAAUAUCAUGUAUUUUCUCUUUCCCUUUUGUCAAUCAUUGUGAAUUCACCUUCUUAAUUGUUGUUUAUAGUCCCACAAAUAUCCCCAAGAUUUUUUACGUCCUCAUGUGAAGUUUUGUGUUUUAUAUGAAUAACAGAACCCAUAAAAUGAUAUUUAUAUCCAUUCAAAUUUUCAAGGUUAUUUUUGAACUCUUUCUUCCUAUUGUGACUACAUGCCUUUGAAAAAAGCAUGUGAUAUUGUGAUAUAACAUGCAACUCAUUUAUUAGAUAACAAGUCAUUAAAUAACGUUCCUAUAGUCAAACAGCUAAGUAGUUGGAUAUCCAGAAACUUAGAGUUUUUUAAUCCAAUUCCAGUUUUUAAAGCAAUUCAGGAAACAGGUGCUAUGAGAGGAAAUUGAUUUACCCAAACAUUUACAGACUCUUGGCCAAAGCAAGAUCUAAAACUCAGGUUUGGCCUUCUAGGCCAACAUUCUCUUCAUGGACCAUCAGGUCUUCUUGGUGCUAAAUUGUCAUUGUUGAAUGUUAACUUCACUGGUUAUACUUUCUAAAAUAAAGAGAAACAAGAUCUUAGACAUUCUGAAAAUCUUUGUUUCAUUUCUGUGAGGGUUGAAAUAUUAUCUUUUGAAGCAUGUUUAGUUGUGGGUUUUCACCUUCUGGGUUUCAUUUUAAGUCUUCACACCAAAAGUGAAACUGGUACCUAAUCAUGGAAGUUUUGCUUGGUUUGAGGUCAAGUCUAGACACAGCUGCUAUGCACUACCUAGUUUCCAAACUGAUAGCAAUCUCCUCUGUGUUUUAGAAAAAAAGAUAAUCUAAUAUUUUCACAAUGUCUUUCUCAAAUUAUUAAUACAUUGUACCAAAGUUUUGAGUUUUUAAAUGGGCCUUAGUUCUAAGCAAUACAGAUUUUAAGAGGUAUUCUGUCUCAGGUAUCAUAGCUUCUCUAGACGUAAUUAGCAAGUUCUGUACCUCUGCCAUUAAAAUCAGGAUACCUACCUGAUGAAAUUAGCAAUAUGACAAUUAAGAUGCCUGCAUUAAGGCUAUUAUUUUAAUAAUGUGAUGAAUAUGUUUGGUUUAUAAUGACAAUUUUUAAAUAAUUUUUAUAUAAUUUUUCAUACUUUUAUUUAUUUUUUUAUGUGGUGCUGAGGAUCAAACCCAGGGCCUUGCACAUGCUAGGUGAGCACUCUAUUGCUGAGCCACCACCCCAGCCCAUGACAAUUUUUAUUUUAGAAAAAUUUUGAUAACUAUCAUUUAAAUAAAUUAAUAUAACUCUCAAGUAUAGCAGGAAGAUCAUACAUAAAUGACAGUGUAUGUUGGGAUCCUUUUAACAAGAGCAAAAUAGAUAGCAAUUAUUGAUAUGUUAGCUAACAAUAAACAGAAAGUUGUAGUCAGCUUUUCUUUAUCUGUCUUUGGUUUGUCGGAAGAGCAUCCUUUGAGCCAAGAUUGAAAGUUCAAGUGAAACAGAAUACAGUAGAUAUAUGAAGAAAGGUGUUUUAACAGAAACUUUUUAUAAAUUUUAUUAAUACAUGAGCACAAACACCUAGAACAUAUACAUUUUUUAAAAUGUUCUUUAAUGCAUUUUGAUCCAAAACUAUUAUUUUGCAUUAUUUUCAAAAUAAAAAUAUGCCAUAUAUAUAAAAACUAUGAAAUAUCAUAUAAUUAGAGGUUUAGCUCAUCUUUAUUAAAGUUGAUGGAUUUUCACCUGAUCUAUCUCAUUAGUUUUAGCAAUUUCAACUUUCAUUUUUUUCAGAUGCAACUUCCUUGGGUGAAAUGACACAGAAAUGUGGAAGAUGCUUCCAUGAAGUUCUUCAUACUCCUUAAGCAUAAAAUUUUAAGGAACUGGCCUUCUGCAAAUCUUUUCCAAACCUUGAACUUCAGUCCAU